AUUGAACGCUGGCGGCAGGCCUAACACAUGCAAGUCGAACGGUAACAGGAAGCAGCUUGCUGCUUUGCUGACGAGUGGCGGACGGGUGAGUAAUGUCUGGGAAACUGCCCGAUGGAGGGGGAUAACUACUGGAAACGGUAGCUAAUACCGCAUAACGUCGCAAGGCCAAAGAGGGGGACCUUAGGGCCUCUUGCCAUCGGAUGUGCCCAGAUGGGAUUAGCUAGUAGGUGGGGUAACGGUUCACCUAGGCGACGAUCCCUAGCUGGUCUGAGAGGAUGACCAGCCACACUGGAACUGAGACACGGUCCAGACUCCUACGGGAGGCAGCAGUGGGGAAUAUUGCACAAUGGGCGCAAGCCUGAUGCAGCCAUGCCGCGUGUAUGAAGAAGGCCUUCGGGUUGUAAAGUACUUUCAGCGGGGAGGAAGGGAGUAAAGUUAAUACCUUUGCUCAUUGACGUUACCCGCAGAAGAAGCACCGGCUAACUCCGUG
Molecule: ribosomal RNA, 490 nt
Filed under: uncultured bacterium
Lineage: Bacteria
Description: partial 16S ribosomal RNA
Rfam family: Bacterial small subunit ribosomal RNA
Source: RNAcentral